RNAcentral lists this unclassified non-coding RNA (209 nucleotides) under Melitaea cinxia (Glanville fritillary). RNAcentral describes it as "misc RNA ENSMCXG00005017623.1". Lineage: Eukaryota; Metazoa; Arthropoda; Insecta; Lepidoptera; Nymphalidae. The record is from RNAcentral.
GUCUCCGUCGUGGAUGCCAGUAUUAGAACUCAAUGUGGAACAGAUCAUGCCAGAAGUGGUUCACAAAGACUUUCGACUUUGGCUUACCUCUACACCUUCACCUUUCUUCCCAGUAGCAUUGUUGCAGAAUGGAUAUAAAAUGACAGUAGAGCCUCCAAGAGGUAUCAAAGCAAACUUAUUGAAGGCUUAUAUGAAUCAGGUUCCUGAUU